AGAGUUUGAUCAUGGCUCAGGAUGAACGCUGGCGGCGUGCUUAACACAUACAAGUCGAACGAAGCACUCUAUUUGAUUUUCUUCGGAAAUGAAGAUUUUGUGACUGAGUGGCGGACGGGUGAGUAACGCGUGGGUAACCUGCCUCAUACAGGGGGAUAACAGUUGGAAACGACUGCUAAUACCGCAUAAGCGCACAGGAUUGCAUGAUCCGGUGUGAAAAACUCCGGUGGUAUGAGAUGGACCCGCGUCUGAUUAGCCAGUUGGCAGGGUAACGGCCUACCAAAGCGACGAUCAGUAGCCGACCUGAGAGGGUGACCGGCCACAUUGGGACUGAGACACGGCCCAAACUCCUACGGGAGGCAGCAGUGGGGAAUAUUGCACAAUGGGGGAAACCCUGAUGCAGCGACGCCGCGUGAGCGAAGAAGUAUUUCGGUAUGUAAAGCUCUAUCAGCAGGGAAGAAGAAUGACGGUACCUGACUAAGAAGCACCGGCUAAAUACGUGCCAGCAGCCGCGGUAAUACGUAUGGUGCAAGCGUUAUCCGGAUUUACUGGGUGUAAAGGGAGCGCAGGCGGUGCGGCAAGUCUGAUGUGAAAGCCCGGGGCUCAACCCCGGUACUGCAUUGGAAACUGUCGUACUAGAGUGUCGGAGGGGUAAGUGGAAUUCCUAGUGUAGCGGUGAAAUGCGUAGAUAUUAGGAGGAACACCAGUGGCGAAGGCGGCUUACUGGACGAUAACUGACGCUGAGGCUCGAAAGCGUGGGGAGCAAACAGGAUUAGAUACCCUGGUAGU
This 789-nucleotide ribosomal RNA is filed under the name uncultured bacterium. RNAcentral describes it as "bacterial SSU rRNA". It matches the Rfam family "Bacterial small subunit ribosomal RNA", at positions 8 to 794 of the family's 1533-position model. The record is from RNAcentral.